GGGGGUGGGAAGGAGGGAGGAGAGGAGGAGAAAAAAAAUAAAACACUUUUGGUUGAGGUUUUCCUGUUACUAUCACUGUAGCGUUUAUUUAGCCAAUCUCCUAACUGUGACGUGAGGAAGGCAGGAAUCAUGGCUCGCUCAUAAUAUUUAACACACCCACUGGAAGCUGGAGCUGCAGAGCUACCCGUCCAACCCGUCUCCAGAACCCAGUGUGGCUGAAAGAGUUGUGCCAUCCGACAGUUUUGCAGCCAAAAAAACCCAACCCACGCCAAAGGCAAAGCGCAGCUCGGAUACAGCAGCCACCCCGGCUGGAUCUCAGCUGAGCGCUCAUCUCUCCCGAGCGGCGGACAAAGCGAUGGAUGAAGGAACUGGAACCGCUCGGAGAAAAUGAUUUUGCAGCCAAUGUUCUUAAGCAGUCUCACAGAAGAGAGGGAGAGAGCGGAGAGCGCUUCUGCUGCAUCACUGGGCGCAUUCAAAGGAAGGAGUCAGCGUUUCCUGCACUGCCAAACGUUAUGGAUGAUUUUUUCCUUCUGUCGCCUUUCCGUACAGGUUUUCUUAAUAUUCUUCUCCCCCCCUCCUUCCCGUCGUUUUUUGAACGAUGAUGAUUUAAUCGCAGCCAGCCUCAGACGCCGGUUUCUCCUCCAGAAACAGCUCUCCCUAUUUGUUGUGAUCCCCGUAAUAAAAAGCGAGAGAAACCGCGAA
This is a non-coding RNA of Meleagris gallopavo (turkey), 702 nucleotides long. The record is from RefSeq and is a predicted model, not a curated record. NCBI's taxonomy places the organism in Eukaryota, Metazoa, Chordata, Aves, Galliformes, Phasianidae.